UGUUCUAAAUCACUGACUGAAGCCAAUCU
RNAcentral lists this non-coding RNA (29 nucleotides) under Rattus norvegicus (Norway rat). The record is from RNAcentral. Lineage: Eukaryota; Metazoa; Chordata; Mammalia; Rodentia; Muridae.